RNAcentral lists this unclassified non-coding RNA (321 nucleotides) under uncultured fungus. RNAcentral's name for it is "partial contains 5.8S rRNA and ITS2". The record is from RNAcentral. Lineage: Eukaryota; Fungi.
AACGCAAAUUGCGCCCGCGUCUUCGGACAAGGGCAUGUCUGCCUCAGCGUCGGGUUAAUACUCGCAAUCCAAACCCCUGUGGUUUGCUCAUUGCGGACCUGGCCGUCCCGAUUGAUUUAAUUCCUUCGGGUCGGCUGAAGAACAGAGGUUGACGCAUGGACCCGAUAUGGGCCUCUACUGGGUAGGCAAUUCGUUGCUAAAUGCUUUAGUGGAUGGCUUGUGGACUGUGCUUGUCGGCCCUAACCAGGAACCGAGCCUUGCGCUCGGAACUUAACCCAUUUUCUCGACCUGAGCUCAGGCAAGAACACCCGCUGAACUUAA